This 209-nucleotide ribosomal RNA is filed under the name uncultured bacterium. RNAcentral's name for it is "partial 16S ribosomal RNA". It matches the Rfam family "Bacterial small subunit ribosomal RNA", at positions 1284 to 1500 of the family's 1533-position model. The record is from RNAcentral.
UGUCUCAGUUCGGAUUGGAGGCUGAAACCCGCCUCCAUGAAGUUGGAUUCGCUAGUAAUCGCGCAUCAGCCAUGGCGCGGUGAAUACGUUCCCGGGCCUUGUACACACCGCCCGUCAAGCCAUGGGAGCCGGGGGUGCCUGAAGUUCGUGACCGCAAGGAGCGACCUAGGGCAAAACUGGUGACUGGGGCUAAGUCGUAACAAGGUAAC